ACGACUAUUACAUAUCAGUGUAUAAUACAAAAUAUCCCGCAUUUGAUAAUCCAACGCUGCAAUUCUUGAUGAAAAUACAGUAUGCUACAUGAAAUCGGUUUAUUAGAUGGACAUGUGACCAAUAAAUUACAUCAGAUUAAAAACAAUCUAUUGGACAUCAUAGUUAUAACAGCACUGAAACAGAAUUAAGUUCAACAGAAAAUAAUUGUACACAUUUUGAACAAACAUUAACAACUGAUUAAUUGUUUCAAAUUAUAUCAAAUUUUGGAAUCAGACAUGCAUUUCCGAACUUAUACAUAGCCUAUAAGGCAUUACUUACCAUUUCAGCAACUUCUGUCUCUGCAGAACGAGCCUUUUCCAAAGUAAAUUAAUCAAAACAAGAUUACAUUCACCAACUGAACAACACAGAUGAGAGAGCCUUAUGAUACUAAGUUGUGAAAAAAAUAUAUCUAUUGACUAUAAUUUAGCCAUUAAUCAAUUUGCUUUAUCAUCUGAUUUGUUAAAAGAUUAUUUAAUUUUUAAAUAAAGUUAUGCAACAUAGAGUUAACAAUACUAUAGUAUAAAGUAUUUUAUUUAUUAAAUUUUAAUUUAUUAAAAAGGUUAUAACGAUUCAUAAAAAAAUACUUAUAAAUGUUAUAUAUAAAAAAUAACCAAGUACCUACUUAUAAUAUAUUUUUUGGUACCUGUCUGAAGAUAGAAGGUGUAAAUUUUGACCAUGCACUCAAACUGAACAAAAACAAAAUAAACAACUAACAUACUACCUACCAAACGGAACCAACCGGUUCAACUUAAGAAUUAUUAAACCAAUACGGUUUAGAUAUUUAUUGAGGAUAAGUAGUAUAGGACGCAAGACAAGAAGAACAAAAUCAAUAACGAUGGAUUUUAAAUCAAAGGCACAGUUCACAAAGCAUAGUCAGCCAAUCAAUCAUAAAACCAAAAAAAAAAAAACACUAUACUCAAACAU
This is a long non-coding RNA of Sipha flava (yellow sugarcane aphid), 964 nucleotides long. RefSeq lists it as uncharacterized. NCBI's taxonomy places the organism in Eukaryota, Metazoa, Arthropoda, Insecta, Hemiptera, Aphididae. The record is from RefSeq and is a predicted model, not a curated record. The transcript has 3 exons.